Molecule: regulatory RNA element, 99 nt
Organism: Buttiauxella agrestis ATCC 33320
Lineage: Bacteria; Pseudomonadati; Pseudomonadota; Gammaproteobacteria; Enterobacterales; Enterobacteriaceae
Rfam family: traJ-II RNA
Source: Rfam
GGGCAGGACAUGUAAAGUAGGCCCACCGCUACGGUGUUCCAACUUUACCACUCCCUAUUCGCCGCAUCGCGGCUCAAGGGCGUCCUGCUCUGCGAGGCU